This 452-nucleotide ribosomal RNA is filed under the name uncultured organism. RNAcentral's name for it is "partial 16S ribosomal RNA". It matches the Rfam family "Bacterial small subunit ribosomal RNA", at positions 332 to 800 of the family's 1533-position model. The record is from RNAcentral.
UACACUCCUACGGGAGGCAGCAGUGGGGAAUAUUGGACAAUGGGCGCAAGCCUGAUCCAGCCAUGCCGCGUGAGUGAUGAAGGCCCUAGGGUUGUAAAGCUCUUUCACCGGUGAAGAUAAUGACGGUAACCGGAGAAGAAGCCCCGGCUAACUUCGUGCCAGCAGCCGCGGUAAUACGAAGGGGGCUAGCGUUGUUCGGAUUUACUGGGCGUAAAGCGCACGUAGGCGGACUAUUAAGUCAGGGGCGAAAUCCCGGGGCUCAACCCCGGAACUGCCUUUGAUACUGGUAGUCUUGAGUUCGAGAGAGGUGAGUGGAAUUCCGAGUGUAGAGGUGAAAUUCGUAGAUAUUCGGAGGAACACCAGUGGCGAAGGCGGCUCACUGGCUCGAUACUGACGCUGAGGUGCGAAAGCGUGGGGAGCAAACAGGAUUAGAAACCCCGGUAGUCCCAUGA